AGAACGAACGCUGGCGGCAUGCCUAAUACAUGCAAGUCGAACGAACACUUCGGUGUUAGUGGCGCACGGGUGCGUAACGCGUGGGAAUCUGCCCUUGGGUUCGGAAUAACAGUUGGAAACGACUGCUAAUACCGGAUGAUAUCGAAAGAUCAAAGAUUUAUCGCCCAGGGAUGAGCCCGCGUAGGAUUAGCUAGUUGGUGAGGUAAAGGCUCACCAAGGCGACGAUCCUUAGCUGGUCUGAGAGGAUGAUCAGCCACACUGGGACUGAGACACGGCCCAGACUCCGUACGGGACGGCA
Molecule: ribosomal RNA, 298 nt
Filed under: uncultured soil bacterium
Lineage: Bacteria
Description: partial 16S ribosomal RNA
Rfam family: Bacterial small subunit ribosomal RNA
Source: RNAcentral